AGAUUGAACGCUGGCGGAAUGCUUUACACAUGCAAGUCGAACGGCAGCACGGGACUCAGGCAACUGAGCCCUGGUGGCGAGUGGCGAACGGGUGAGUAACAUAUCGGAACGUACCCAGUCGUGGGGGAUAACUCUCCGAAAGGAGAGCUAAUACCGCAUACGUCCUGAGGGAGAAAGCGGGGGACCUAAGGGUAACUGAGGGCCUCGCGCGAUUGGAGCGGCCGAUAUCGGAUUAGCUAGUUGGUGGGUAAGGCUCACCAAGGCGACGAUCCGUAGCGGGUCUGAGAGGACGACCCGGCCACACUGGAACCUGAGACACGGUCCAGACUCCUACGGGAGGCAGCAGUGGGAAUUUGGACAAUGGGGCAACCCUGAUCCAGCCAUUCCGCGUGACGUGAAGAAGGCCGUUCGGUUGUAAGCGUCUUUCAGCAGAACGAAACGGUACGACGUUUAAUAAACGUCGACGUAAUCGACGGUACCU
RNAcentral lists this ribosomal RNA (481 nucleotides) under uncultured soil bacterium. RNAcentral describes it as "bacterial SSU rRNA". It matches the Rfam family "Bacterial small subunit ribosomal RNA", at positions 26 to 480 of the family's 1533-position model. The record is from RNAcentral.